RNAcentral lists this ribosomal RNA (438 nucleotides) under uncultured bacterium. Its description in RNAcentral is "bacterial SSU rRNA". It matches the Rfam family "Bacterial small subunit ribosomal RNA", at positions 362 to 793 of the family's 1533-position model. The record is from RNAcentral.
UAUUGCACAAUGGGCGCAAGCCUGAUGCAGCCAUGCCGCGUGUGUGAAGAAGGCCUUCGGGUUGUAAAGCACUUUCAGUUGUGAGGAAGGUGGUGUCGUUAAUAGCGGCAUCAUUUGACGUUAGCAACAGAAGAAGCACCGGCUAACUCCGUGCCAGCAGCCGCGGUAAUACGGAGGGUGCGAGCGUUAAUCGGAAUUACUGGGCGUAAAGCGCAUGCAGGUGGUUUGUUAAGUCAGAUGUGAAAGCCCGGGGCUCAACCUCGGAACUGCAUUUGAAACUGGCAGACUAGAGUACUGUAGAGGGGGUAGAAUUUCAGGUGUAGCGGUGAAAUGCGUAGAGAUCUGAAGGAAUACCGGUGGCGAAGGCGGCCCCCUGGACAGAUACUGACACUCAGAUGCGAAAGCGUGGGGAGCAAACAGGAUUAGAUACCCUGGUAG